Molecule: long non-coding RNA, 843 nt
Filed under: Amborella trichopoda
Lineage: Eukaryota; Viridiplantae; Streptophyta; Magnoliopsida; Amborellales; Amborellaceae
Description: long non-coding RNA (ATRI_LNC001293)
Source: RNAcentral
GAUCCCUCUCUUGCGGCCUAAAAUUAAGAUGUCAUUCAUAUGACCCUUUCAUUGAUAUCUCCACCUACCUUGGGGGUGUGUGUGAGAGAGAGAGGAUAUAUAGCGAUAGAAAAAGAGAGAGAUGGAGCAAGCUGAAAUCAUAGUCAAGCAAGAGGGAGAAUCAAAGAAGUAAAAUCAUAGUCAAGCAAGAGAGAGAAACAAUAAGAGCGCAGCGCGAAACUACAUAAGAGAGCAAAAUCAUAGUCAAGAAAGAGACCAUAAAAAUGUGGUUUCUCUCUAGAUCAUAUUUGGUUUUUCUCUCUAGAUCAUAUCCGAACAAAUCUAGUUUUUCUCUCUAGAUCAUAUUUGGUUUUUCUCUCUAAAUCAUAUCCGAACCAAUCUAGUUUUUCUCUCUAGAUCAUAAUCAAGAAAGAGAGCAAAAUUAUAGUCAAGAAAGACCCCAUGAAAAUCAAUGGGGAAAACCCCUGAAAUCUAGAAAGAGAAACAGUUAGAGCACCACAACUGUAUUAGAGAAAAAGCAAAAUUAUACCCAAGAAUGGAAAGAAAAUGACAGUUAAGAUUGAAUACCAGUUUGUCCCUAUAAGUAUUGAGAUUCUGUAUUUCCUUGUUUAGUUGAUGAGAAAGAGGGAUCUUGGGAGAGAGAGAGCACCACUGUGAGAAGUCUCUUGUUCCUGGAAAAGGGAGAGAGAGAUCUCUUGGAACUGGAAAAGGAAGAGAGAGAGAGGCAUUCUUUGAGAGAGAGAGCUUGGUUGUAAGAGACCUCUGUCGUGGGGUAAGAGUAGAGAACGAGAGAGGGACAGUGGAGGGAUGUUUUGUUAAAAGAGUGGCGGGAGAGAGUCUCCA